AAUUCAUGGUGAGAACACCUUCUUAUGAAAUCUUUAUACCUCUCCCGAGCCUCAUAUAGUGAUUCAGAAUCAAAUUGCAUGAAAGAAAAGAUGUCAUUCUGCAUCU
RNAcentral lists this small nucleolar RNA (106 nucleotides) under Theobroma cacao (cacao). Its description in RNAcentral is "Plant small nucleolar RNA R71". It matches the Rfam family "Plant small nucleolar RNA R71". From Rfam's summary of the family: R71 is a member of the C/D box family of snoRNAs containing the C (UGAUGA) and D (CUGA) box motifs. The record is from Rfam by way of RNAcentral. Lineage: Eukaryota; Viridiplantae; Streptophyta; Magnoliopsida; Malvales; Malvaceae.